Molecule: long non-coding RNA, 2702 nt
Filed under: Homo sapiens (human)
Lineage: Eukaryota; Metazoa; Chordata; Mammalia; Primates; Hominidae
Description: HSALNT0353129
Source: RNAcentral
GAGUUGGGGGAGAGGACCAGAACCACCUGCUGGAGAAGGGGAGCUACGGGGGCCGGGCAGGGUCCAAACGCCUCACGUAGGCGGCGGCGCCACGGUCUUCGGGGUCACAGGGAAGAGAAGGGCUCUCCUCAAGCGGGUGGAAGGAGGGAGGCCUCCCGAGGGAGUGAGACUCUAGGCCACUCCCCCGCAGCAAGGCAGGAUCACCUGCGACGCGGAGAGCGGUUAGAGGGCCCUGGAGUGGAAAAGGGCAGUGGGACCUGGUAGCUUGGGUUCCCUGCAACUUGGGGUUCGACCUCCAGGCAAUGAAGUAGGGAUGGUCCUGCAAGUCAAGAUUCCAGUAGCAAGAGUGCAUCAGAUCUCUGUAAGGAAAAUAACUAACAUUGCUCAGUUCCCUGUAGAGUUGCAGGGCGCUUUAACGUUAUCUCCCUUGGUUCUCCAUCAGGUCGUAGUGGACUAAUUUUACAGGCGAAGUUAAGUGACUUACCCAAAACCUCACAGCUAAUAAACGGCAGAGCCGGCACCCAGCUGUACUGGCUUCCAAUUCUGUUAGCUUACCAGCGCAUCACAUUAUCUCCAUAAAUCCCCAUGAUUCAACUAAUAUUAGACGCCCCACAGGUAAGAUGCUUCAGAGUUAGAGGGGAGUUGAAGAUACCUUUGCCUUCAAAGAAGUAAGGAAUAAAACAAAGAUAAAACAGACAAUAAAAGACAAACCAUGAUAGGUGCCACGUGAAAAGUGGCAGAGUACUGCCGGGAAUCAAAGAACCGUGUAUAUCUGUCUUGGGGAUAAGGAAAGAAAGGCAGCAUGAAGGAGUAGGCAUUUGGGAUUGACCUUGAAGGAGACAGGGAGAGUUUUACAGCAAGCAGGGAUAGCAUGAGAAUAUAUAUGAAGGCGAAUCAGUGAAAGUUGUGUUGGGGAAAGAGCAAAGACUCCAGGGUAUGUUGAGAGGUAGAAAAGACAAAGGAGUAUGGGGCCUAAGAUACCAAAUGGAUGAAUUUAUAUUUAAUUCAGUAUUUUGAGUUUUUAUGGUUCAGAAGUUUGGGGGAAGAAAAGGAAGGUUUUUUUUUUUCUUUGUGCUAGUGAUUUAUCUGUGAGGGGAAGCAGAAAUCAGAGGUGGAAAAACGGACAGAUCUACUGUAGGCCAGGUAAAAAUGAUGAGUCUGACCUAAAGGGACAGCUAGGGGAAUUUAAAAGAGCAUAGUUGAGAGAUGAUGUGCAUGCAGUAUCUAUAGAAUUUGGCAACUGAUUGAUUAAUUGUGGGUAGGAAGAGAGAAAUCAAAGAAAGUGGAGGUUUUGAGUUUGUAGAUAAUUGCAAGAGAGAAAAGAGACAAUUACAAAGGAGAGGGAGCUACUUCUUGAGAGAUCAGUUUAGAUUUGGACAUUUUAAGAAUUCAAAGGGUUGUCAAGACAGCCAGAGAGACAUGGACACUAAUAAGUUAGAAAUAAAGGUUUUGUAAUAUGGGAAAGAGGACUGAACUAGAAAAUAGACUCAUAAAUAAUCAGCCUAGGAGUGAUAUUGCUGUGAGAUAAAAGAAGAAAACAAAGGUCAGAAUCUUGGAAAACACCCUCUUUAGAGUCUCGCUACUCAAAACGUGGUCAGUGGCCCAGCAGCACUGACAUGAGGAUGUUAGUUAGAAACUCAGAAUCUCAGGCUCCACCCCAGACCUGCUGAACCAGCAUCUUCAACUUAACAAGAACCCGAAGAGAUUUGUGUCACAUCAAAAAGUUUGAGAAGCUCUGAUCUAGGUGAGCCAAGCCAGCAAAGAAAGGGGAUGGAGCAGAAAAUGGGAGGAGAAUAGGGUAACGCAGAAUCAUCAAGACAAGGUAAAUUGGAGUUUCACAAAAACAGGGCUGGAAGGAGUGUUGCUCAACAAUAUCCAAAACCACAGAGGUUGAAAAGCACAAGGAAAGAAGGUAUGUUUGCACUUUGUGAUUAGGUAGUAGGGUCUUUGAGACCACAUUGUUCUUAUUGAAAGCCUGGGAAGAAAGAUCCCCUUUCUGGUCAAGUUUAGUCUAGGGAUCCAUCCCAUCUUCCCCAGUUCCCACGUGUAUGGGACAUGUCGAGAUAAGUAGAUAGAUUGGACAGUGGGAGAAAGUAGUUCUCUUCCAGUUGCUUCUAUUUUCUCAGCAAAGUGAGGAGCAAGAUCAUUUUGGCAGACUGCUAAUUGUCCAUCACAAUUUAGUCUCCCUUUCUCCCUGAAAACACAGACUGCUUUUCUCAGCCUCUCUUUCAGUUGCAUAUGGUCAAGUAUUAAGUUAUAGAACGUGAGCAGAUGUUAUGUCUGCCACUGUCAGGCCAAGGCGUUUACUUUGAGAGUACUUGUGCCUCUUUCAUGCAUUUUCCUUUCUGCCAGCUGGACCCUGGACACGGUGACUCUGAUUCAAUUAUGCAGAUGACCACAAACCUCUGGGGUUGGCAGAGCCACAAGAAAGAAGGUGCCUGGAUGAAGGAGAGCUACCCACUGACCUGGACACCCAAUUAUAGGAUAGACAGUGAAGUGCAACUACAGCCCGCAAAUGAAAAUGAAUAAUAUUAAUCCAGCCCCUCAAGGCAGGCGAGUAGCUGCUGUCAUCUGUCUUAGAGCUAUUGGAAUCCUGGAUCAUUGUGGGAAAUGAAAGGUCUGGAUGCCCAUUUUAAUUCUUCUGAAAGCAUGCCUCCUCCUUCUGGCUUCAGGACUCCAUCUCCAGCCUCUUGAUCUAAAAA